CUGAAGCCAGGAGGCCCAGUUCAGGUGCUCCGCCAGGGCUCCCGUGGUCCUGCCUGCAGGGGCGAGGUAGCAGGACCCCCUUGUUUAGCCUCUGCUGCAUCCUUAGCUGCAGCAGGGAGCCUGCCAGGCAGGUGUGCGACAGGCAGGACAGCGAUGUCUUCCUGCAUGACAGAAGGGGAAACUGAGGCCCAGAGUGAUGCAGCCCGGGACCUCCCAGGACAAGGUCCAAGCUCUUACCUCAGAUACAAACUCAUCUGGAAGCAUUAAAACAAUGGAAGCAGGUGAGAGCAGAGAGAUCCCGAGCGCAGGUGAGGUGGGGUCCCUGAGGCGGGCUCAAAAGCUGCUUCCCAAGGCAGGGGGGCCCCUAUGUGCCCUCUGAGAGCACAGCCUGCAGACAGAGUCCAGACGUCUCAGGCAGGCCUUUGAGGCCUUCGUGUCAAAGCCCAGUUCUACCACAUCCUAGGGUUAUACUUUCGGCCUGGUGGGAGUCGCUGGUCCCCAGUUGACAGUGUCAUUGGGAAAGUCCAGUGGUAGACCCCGGCACAGCAGGCGCUCAGCAGUGCAGCAGUAUCAUUGCUUAGCCCCACCUCCCUUUCCAGACUCUGCACCCCUCCUCAGGCUCAGAGCAAGGGCCUGCCCCUGCCCCUCCACCGCCCCCUCCUCACUUACCCCUGCGACUCUGCCCAAGCAAGACCUCCCCCUGGAAUUCAUUCAUUUAUCAACUCAUUAUGCAGCCAGCCAGCCAUCGUUUCUUUUUUAUCCACUUUUUCUGAGGGCCUGCUGUGCGCCAGCUGCUGGAGACAUGAAGACAUCGAAGACCCCAGGCCUUGACCUCCAAGAGCCCCCAGUUUGGUGGAAGAAACAAACAAGGAGACUGCAAAACACACCCUGUGAUGGGGAGGGUUGAGGUGGCCAGUGGGAGAGGCGAGCUGGCAGGGCUCAGUGGUGAGGUGAAGGUGUGGGAGCAGGGACACAGCAUGAAGGAGUAGAUGGCCAGGUUGAGCUUUGCAGGCUCCAGGGGGAGGAUAAAGAGCUGACACCUGGAACGUGCUUGGAACAGCAGGUGCUCGGUCAGUGCAGCCACGACCAUCCCGUCCUGCAUCCCCACCAUGAACUUGGACCUUCUGGAAGGACCUUGCUUAUCCCAGCAUCCACACAUCCUUGACCAGACCUGGUCAACAUUUGCUUAGAACCGCCUGGCUGCUGGGAUGAGAAGAGACUGGAGAGAGACCACGAUGGAAGCCAGGAGGCCAACGAGGAGUUGGGGUAGUCCUCCAGGGAGACAUGAUGUGGCUUCAGCCCCAGUGGUGAUGGCGGGGUAGAGCCAGCAGGGUUCUGAACUGAGUGGAUGUGAAAUGAGGGAAAGAGGGAUGCUGCGGUCGGCAGAAUCGUGCCUCCCGCAAAGAUGCCCCAUCCUAACCCGUCACCCUUGACAGUGAGACCUCCACCACAAAGGGGACUUUGCAGGCAUGAAGGUUAAGGACCCUGAGAGGAGGAGAUGGCCCUGGACUGUCUGGCGGGCCCAGCAUCAUCACAAGGGUGCUUAUAAGUGGAGGAGGAGGCAGGGGGAGCCGAGCAGAUGUGAGGAUAGAAGCAGAGGUCGGAGGGACGUGCUGUUGGCUUGAGAUGGAGGAGGACCUAUGAGCCAAGGAGCAUGGGCGGCCUCUGGAAGCCAGAAAGGGCAAGGCCUCUUCCCGGAGCCUCCAGCAGAACCCAGCCCCGCUGCCACCUCGACUGCAGAACGGUGACACCGUGUCCGAUUCCCGACCUCCAGAACCGUGAGAUAACACGUGUGCUGUUUUAAGCCACUGCAAUUGUGGUAUUUGUCACAGCAGCCAUAGGAAACUGUACGGGGGUUAAAGAGGACCUGCUGACCUCUGAGCUCACACUGAAGCCUCCUGGAAUGCUGUGGGUUGUGAGCUGGGAUGAGAACGCAGCAUGGAGAUGAAAGACGCAUCCACCCAGGAAGGCCCACUGGCAUCGCAAUCUCAGGGAAGAUUCCCAGGCUGAAAAAAGAGAAAGUGGCUGGGGUGGCACUGAAUGCCCCACGUCAAAGAAAUGGCACCCAAGCCGUCCGUCAGUCCCUCACCUGCCACACAGACAGCACCUUGGACCCAGCAAGAUGUCACUCACCACAUUGAUGCUGUCCACAGGCAUCGCCUUGCUUUUGCAGCUCUGUGUGAGAUUUGUCAGCUUGGUUUGGGUCUGGGGCUGUAUUAGAGCUGUCAGCCUAGGAGCCUACCCUAGUUUUGUGUCUGCACUAUUUCCAAAGCACUGGAAUAAAAGGCAUUUUAACCAACACCAGGAACCCACGGGAAUCUUUUCAAAGGAUCUGCAUCAGAUCAGCCUAAGGAACACUGCUGUCGGUGAUGAAAUCUGUUGAGGAUUCGAAGCUGGCGUGUGGUGCACGCAAAUUCCUUUUUUCUUUUUUAAUCAAUGAUUAGAUGAUUCCUUAGAGCAGUUUUAGGUUCACUGCAAAACUGAACAGAAAGUGCAGAAUUCCCAUAUCCCACCUUCCCAAACACACACACAGUUUCCUCUGUGACUAACAUCUUGCAUCUUGUGGUACAUUUGUUACAAUUGAGGAACCAAUAUUGACCCAUUAUUAUAAAGUCAGUAGGUGACAUAAGCAGUCACUGUUGGUGUGGUGAUUCUGUGGCUUUGGAUAAAUGUAUAAUGACAUAUAUCCGCCAUUACAGUAUCACGCAGAAUAGCUUCACUGCCCCCAAUGUCCUCCGUCCUCCAUCCACUCACUCCUUACCUCCCCCAGCCCCUGGCAACCACUGAUCCUUUCCUGUCUCCACAGUUUUGCCUUUUCCGUAUGUCACAGGGUUGGAGUCAUACAGCUUGUAGCCUUUUCAGAUCGGC
This 2868-nucleotide long non-coding RNA is filed under the name Homo sapiens (human). RNAcentral's name for it is "non-protein coding LINC01488:6". Lineage: Eukaryota; Metazoa; Chordata; Mammalia; Primates; Hominidae. The record is from RNAcentral.